Molecule: ribosomal RNA, 760 nt
Filed under: uncultured Prevotella sp.
Lineage: Bacteria; Pseudomonadati; Bacteroidota; Bacteroidia; Bacteroidales; Prevotellaceae
Description: bacterial SSU rRNA
Rfam family: Bacterial small subunit ribosomal RNA
Source: RNAcentral
GGCAGCGGGUUGAAAGCUUGCUUUCAAUGCCGGCGACCGGCGCACGGGUGCGUAACGCGUAUCAAACCUGCCUCAUACUCGGGGAUAGCCUUGCGAAAGUAAGAUUAAUACCCGAUGUUGUUGCUUUCUCGCAUGGGAGAGUAACCAAAGAUUUAUCGGUAUGAGAUGGUGAUGCGUCCGAUUAGGUAGUAGGCGGGGUAACGGCCCACCUAGCCUUCGAUCGGUAGGGGUUCUGAGAGGAAGGUCCCCCACACUGGAACUGAGACACGGUCCAGACUCCUACGGGAGGCAGCAGUGAGGAAUAUUGGUCAAUGGGCGAGAGCCUGAACCAGCCAAGUAGCGUGCAGGAUGACGGCCCUCCGGGUUGUAAACUGCUUUUAGUUGGGAAUAAAAAAAGGGACGUGUCCCUUCUUGUAUGUACCUUCAGAAAAAGGACCGGCUAAUUCCGUGCCAGCAGCCGCGGUAAUACGGAAGGUCCAGGCGUUAUCCGGAUUUAUUGGGUUUAAAGGGAGCGUAGGCGGAUUGUUAAGUCAGCGGUUAAAGGGUGUGGCUCAACCAUGCAUUGCCGUUGAAACUGGCGAUCUUGAGUGCAGACAGGGAUGCCGGAAUUCGUGGUGUAGCGGUGAAAUGCUUAGAUAUCACGAAGAACUCCGAUCGCGAAGGCAGGUGUCCGGGCUGCAACUGACGCUGAGGCUCGAAAGUGUGGGUAUCAAACAGGAUUAGAUACCCUGGUAGUCCACACAGUAAACGAUGUAUACUC